AGAGUUUGAUCCUGGCUCAGGACGAACGCUGGCGGCGUGCUUAACACAUGCAAGUCGAACGAUGAAGGCCGUGCUUGCACGGCUGGAUUAGUGGCGAACGGGUGAGUAACACGUGAGUAACCUGCCCUUCACUCUGGGAUAACCUCGGGAAAUCGGGGCUAAUACCGGAUAUGAGUGUCCACUGCAUGGUGGAUGCUGGAAAGUUUUUCGGUGAAGGAUGGACUCGCGGCCUAUCAGUUUGUUGGUGAGGUAAUGGCUCACCAAGACGAUGACGGGUAGCCGGCCUGAGAGGGCGACCGGCCACACUGGGACUGAGACACGGCCCAGACUCCUACGGGAGGCAGCAGUGGGGAAUAUUGCACAAUGGGCGAAAGCCUGAUGCAGCGACGCCGCGUGAGGGAUGACGGCCUUCGGGUUGUAAACCUCUUUCAGUAGGGAAGAAGCGAAAG
Molecule: ribosomal RNA, 449 nt
Filed under: actinobacterium iEAIC38
Lineage: Bacteria; Bacillati; Actinomycetota; Actinomycetes
Description: bacterial SSU rRNA
Rfam family: Bacterial small subunit ribosomal RNA
Source: RNAcentral